UACGUAGGGUCCGAGCGUUGUCCGGAAUUACUGGGCGUAAAGAGCUCGUAGGUGGUUUGUCGCGUUGUUCGUGAAAACUCACAGCUCAACUGUGGGCGUGCGGGCGAUACGGGCAGACUUGAGUACUGCAGGGGAGACUGGAAUUCCUGGUGUAGCGGUGGAAUGCGCAGAUAUCAGGAGGAACACCGGUGGCGAAGGCGGGUCUCUGGGCAGUAACUGACGCUGAGGAGCGAAAGCGUGGGGAGCGAUCAGG
This 253-nucleotide ribosomal RNA is filed under the name uncultured bacterium. Its description in RNAcentral is "partial 16S ribosomal RNA". It matches the Rfam family "Bacterial small subunit ribosomal RNA", at positions 524 to 776 of the family's 1533-position model. The record is from RNAcentral.